Dendroctonus ponderosae (mountain pine beetle) is the source of this 510-nucleotide long non-coding RNA. RefSeq lists it as uncharacterized. The record is from RefSeq and is a predicted model, not a curated record. NCBI's taxonomy places the organism in Eukaryota, Metazoa, Arthropoda, Insecta, Coleoptera, Curculionidae. The transcript is spliced from 3 exons.
UUCAUUAAAUUUCCUGUGUGUAGAGUGUCCGAAAGUAAAUGCCAAUAUGGUUAUAGAUUCUUCAAAAAAAUGCUUUGGGAAACCAGAGCACAUUUUUUCGUUAAUUCUGCCGGAAAAAUGUUCAAAAUGUCUCUGUUGAUAAUUGCGUUUCAUUCAUUACUUGUUCGAUCUUCUAAAUUAAAAAUGUUAAUGUUAACUUUCAGUUUUUCAGUAGUUCGAUCAUUGUGGUGUUUGGUGCGACCAAUAAUUUUUUAUUUGUUUACUAAUACAGUCUUCUCUGAAUUUAGACGGUGGAAAUGGAAAUUGUCGAAGUACUGAACAAGGAGAGGAAAAGGCAGCAAUAUUGCCAGAUCAUUGCCCCAGCUUCUCAAAUGGUUCAAUCGUAGAUAUUAAUUUGGAACAUUGGAAAUUUGACCUGGGCCUACAUUAACAUUCGAUUAAGCGGCCAUUGGUGACAUGAAGCAAAAUACCACCAAAGGCGAAUCUCUUUCAAAUGGGUCUUGUCUGAGU